GCAGGUGGAAGGCAGGAGAUUGAACAGGUUUUUAUUUUUCUUUUCUUCCUUUUUUUUAAAAUCCCUUAUUAAAAUUUUCUUUGUCGAUUUCUUCUUACCAUCUUCAGCUGAGUUCUUUGGCGGCUGACCAUGGUUUUGCACAGUGGUAACACAAAGGCCAAUUCUGUUUCUUUUUUUUAGGCUGCCGGGAAUAAUCUCAUGUUUCUGGGCAACUUUCAUAUUUUCAAAUACAUUAUUUCCAAAACUCUUAUUAUUAUAUCUACUUUAAGAAAUUCCACUCUUGGCCAUGAGAGUGAUCUGUCAGCAGACUGGUCAGGGUACCUUUUCACCACUACAGUUUCACCCUGGAGUAAUGGAAUAAAGAAGACAGUGUUUGGGCACUGUGGUAGGAAAGGAAAAUGGGAGUUUUAUUAUCCCCCACCUAUAACUAAAACUCGUUAAACAAUUAUGUUUUAUAUUAGAAUGUUAACUCUGUAAAGAACAUGGUAUGUGUUGCACAGAAAGGUAGAGUUUUAGGUCAUUUUCUUCUUUUCUGACAAAAAGUUAGUCUUUCCUCAGUCCUGCAGGUGAUGAGAACUCUGUAUGGGACACCCAUAUCAACAGCUGGUAGACGACGCAGGACUCCGGAGUAGAUGUGGCAUUCUGCCUUCAUAUUAUUCUCAAUCAGACUGGUGUUUGAGUAACUCACAAAGAAGUUCAGAAGCCACUGCGCCAGCCACGGAGGUACACGGCUCAACUCUCCUUCCAGACAGAAGCUGCUGGGAGGAGCUCCAGCUACCACAGCAGUCAUUCUGAGGCUACGCCUUCCCCAGGCUGCUUCUAGCCAAUAACUCUGCACAGCAGGGAGACUGGAGCCUCAAAUAUUUUGAAGAAUGAAUUUGAAGGCAAAUUCAUACUGAGAGAUAGCUACAGACAAUCUCCACAGCUGGAGGAGGCAGGGAUUUUCAUGUUUCAGUGUUCCCGCAUUCUGAGACUGUGAAGGAUGGUUCUGCUAACCAUGGAGAAAUGCAACCCAGCCUGGCCAGAAGCUGCUGCAGAUUCCACGUCCUCCCUCUGCUAGAACCUCUUUCCCAGAUUUGUUUGGAGUUGGGUGUGGCUGAGUUUGAGUUCCAGCCAGCCACGUUGGAGUGCAUGCUGUCCUGUUUCCGGGUCAUGGCUUAAGAAGAACCUAUCCUCUUCCAGUCUUUCUCUCUUCUCACUGGAUGAAAAGCAGGAGGAGACCAAUGCCUUCUGCCAUGGGAUGAUGCAUCAAGAAGACCCUUACCAGAUGCCAGUCUUGGACUUCCCA
This 1288-nucleotide long non-coding RNA is filed under the name Homo sapiens (human). RNAcentral describes it as "HSALNT0093642". The record is from RNAcentral. Lineage: Eukaryota; Metazoa; Chordata; Mammalia; Primates; Hominidae.